RNAcentral lists this ribosomal RNA (305 nucleotides) under uncultured bacterium. Its description in RNAcentral is "bacterial SSU rRNA". It matches the Rfam family "Bacterial small subunit ribosomal RNA", at positions 330 to 631 of the family's 1533-position model. The record is from RNAcentral.
UUUGGACUACGGGAGGCAGCAGUAGGGAAUUUUCGUCAAUGGGCGCAAGCCUGAACGGGCAAUGCCGCGUGAACGAGGAAGGUCUUCGGAUCGUAAAGUUCUGUUGAAGGGGAAAAAGAGCGGAGAGAGGAAAUGGUCUCCGAUUGAUAUUACCCUUCGAGGAAGUCACGGCUAACUACGUGCCAGCAGCCGCGGUAAUACGUAGGUGGCGAGCGUUAUCCGGAAUGAUUGGGCGUAAAGGGUGCGUAGGCGGUCCGUUAAGUCAGCGGUAAAAUUGCGGGGCUCAACCCCGUCGAGCCGUUGAA